RNAcentral lists this ribosomal RNA (428 nucleotides) under uncultured bacterium. Its description in RNAcentral is "partial 16S ribosomal RNA". It matches the Rfam family "Bacterial small subunit ribosomal RNA", at positions 354 to 796 of the family's 1533-position model. The record is from RNAcentral.
GUGGGGAAUAUUGGGCAAUGGGCGCAAGCCUGACCCAGCAACGCCGCGUGAAGGAAGAAGGCUUUCGGGUUGUAAACUUCUUUUACCAGGGACGAAACAAAUGACGGUACCUGGUGAAUAAGCCACGGCUAACUACGUGCCAGCAGCCGCGGUAAUACGUAGGUGGCGAGCGUUAUCCGGAUUUAUUGGGUGUAAAGGGCGUGUAGGCGGGACAGCAAGUCAGAUGUGAAAACCAGAGGCUCAACCUCUGGCCUGCAUUGGAAACUGUUGUUCUUGAGUGUCGGAGAGGUAAGCGGAAUUCCGUGUGUAGCGGUGAAAUGCGUAGAUAUACGGAGGAACACCAGUGGCGAAGGCGGAUUACUGGACGAUAACUGACGCUGAGGCGCGAAAGCGUGGGGAGCAAACAGGAUUAGAAACCCUGGUAGUCC